UCCGUUAAUCGAUGUGUGUGUAGGAAUUAACGGCAGCAUGGACUUGAGGGACGGCGUCGACGCCUCCGGCAGAAAGGGCAAGGUUUGUAGUAACUGAAAACGGUGUUGUUUAAUAUCCUUUUUAAUAAUAAUU
This 133-nucleotide small RNA is filed under the name Arabidopsis thaliana (thale cress). RNAcentral's name for it is "ATSL075780". Lineage: Eukaryota; Viridiplantae; Streptophyta; Magnoliopsida; Brassicales; Brassicaceae. The record is from RNAcentral.